ACUAGGCAAUCGCUUGAUUUCUGUCAAGAGGAAAGUCCGGGCAACAAAGGACACGACAGUCGCUAACGGCGACCAGGGGUGACCCUAGGGAAAGUGCCACAGAAACAAAACUACCCAUAGCUAUGGGAAAAGGUGAAACGAGUAAGGUAAGAGCUUACAGCUUACUAUGGCGACAUAGUAAGGAGGUAAACCCUGUCGGUUGCAAGGAGAUCUACAUUUCGGGUGUCCGCCUGUAGGUCGAGAACCGCUUGAUUCAUUUGGCAACAAAUGAACUAGAUAGAUGAUUGCCCACGACAGAACCCGGCUUAUCGGUGGACUG
Molecule: RNase P RNA, 319 nt
Filed under: human oral metagenome
Description: Bacterial RNase P class A
Rfam family: Bacterial RNase P class A
About the family: Ribonuclease P (RNase P) is a ubiquitous endoribonuclease, found in archaea, bacteria and eukarya as well as chloroplasts and mitochondria. Its best characterised activity is the generation of mature 5'-ends of tRNAs by cleaving the 5'-leader elements of precursor-tRNAs. Cellular RNase Ps are ribonucleoproteins.
Source: RNAcentral